This 1979-nucleotide long non-coding RNA is filed under the name Felis catus (domestic cat). Its description in RNAcentral is "lncRNA (ENSFCAG00000051851.1)". Lineage: Eukaryota; Metazoa; Chordata; Mammalia; Carnivora; Felidae. The record is from RNAcentral.
AUGAUAGCUGCAGUUCACUGGGUACCCACCAGGUGCCGGCUCCUCACACACGUGAUCUCUGGAGCACCCACAACCCGCAUGCCGGGACUUGGUGACACUCCCGAUUGCCAAAGGGCCAUACAGCAGUUUCUCCCUUGUGGCAUUACUCUCCGGCAUGGUCCCCGUCUCUUUGAAAGUGGGCAAAGCCAGCACUCAGGUAAGCUGGGAAAGCCGUGUGCCCCUGGCGCUCCCAGAGGCCCCGGGGAACUCUGCCCGUGUACGUUUGAUGUCAGGGUGGAUAACAGAGGGGGGAAAGGGAGUAGAGUUCAGGUGAGAGCCUAGCUCUGGAGUCGGACAACCUGCAUUCAAAUGCCGGUUCUGUCACAUAUUAGGAGAGUGGCUUGGGCAAACUCUUUCCCCAGCACCCCCCCCACCCCCACCCCAGGCUUUAGGCACUGCUGCUGGCUGCUGGGGCGAGGGGCUCAUGCAGGAGAUUGCUCAGCAGGGCUAUGAAGAACAGACCCCAGAGAGGCCGAACAACGAUGACCCUCCUACCCCACCAGCGCGUGCCUGCCCACCUCUUCUGAGCCUGUGCUGAGCGGCCUGGAGAGGCCGAGUGCAGGGCCCCAGCUGCGUCCAUUCUCGCCAGCAUACCCAGUAUCCUUGAGAGUCAGUGGGCUUAGAAGCCUCUUGCCCUGUCUGCAGCUGCAGCGGGGACUCAGACGGUGGGCGAGGGAGACUGGUUAGACCCCCGUGUCUGCUCUAAGCAGGAAAGGAGGCAGAGACAAGGGACAGAACGUGUGUGACCACGCAACAGGCACGGUGCCGAAGCCUGAUCACAGAAAACUCACAAUGACCCCACGAGGAAGGCGGGACCCUCUUCGGGCCGGUGCCUUCGGAGGUCACCCAGCGAUCAGUGGCACAUGUGCUGCCCACUGCCAGCUGGCCACACUCAAGGCACCGCUGUACCUGAGGGAAUAUUAUUUCUAAGUCUCCAUAAACCAUCAAGGAGAGGACCUGGCUGUUUGAGAGGAACUCCAUCAUCAUUCUCCUGUUUGGCUUUUCACUGUGUUUUCUGCCACUGGACCGUAAGCUGCACGAGGGCAGGAGUCCUCGUCCUGUUCACCAUGGUCUCCCCAGCCCUUAGAACAGCGCUUGGCACGUAGCUGCACAUACACGCUCAUUAAGUAUGGGCUGAUGGGAGGGAGGGACGUAGUAGCUGGAUGCAGCCUGCAGUUCUCUCUUGAGUCCGGCACCUGAGAGACGAUGCAGGACUAGAGCCCAGAGAAAGGAAGCGACUUGGCUGGGGUCAGUGCGGGCCAGCGGAGUGAGUAACCUGGGCUGCCCAACAGGGCUUCCUCGGGAGUGCUGCCCCACCCUGCAAUCACGGUGACGGGGGCCGAACGCUGCUGCGCCGGGAUGGAGGGGUGAGAGGUCCUCUGUGGUUCCAUCAGAAGCUGGGAGGAGUGACCCAGGUUCUGGGGGUUAACUGCAGGAACUCCAAAUAUUAUUACUGAUCAUGGAAUGAGCCAGCUGUUGCAUGUGGGAAUAAUAAGAUUGCAGAGGCUGAGGGCUAAUUAGAAAUGUGUCAGAUGCUUUUUCUUAACAGCAAGGAAUUUCUACAAAGGAGAGAUGCAUAAGUAAAGCCAGUUGAUCAGCAGAAUUGGUCUCUGGGGCAGAGCCCUUUCCAAGGCUUCCCUGACCUUCCCCAUCUCUUAUCACGUUCUCCUUCAGUCCUUCUCUCUCUGCACGGCUUCCGGGGAGAUGAGUGGCAAAGGUCCUCAGAGCAGAACAGAUGGCCCCAAAUGCCAGGGCAGUCCUUGUCACAUGCCCGUCUCUCACCCUUGAAUGGGAAUUCCUCUGAGCAGGGCCUGGCAGCCUUCUUUUGUGUCACCAGUUUCUAGCACAGUAUUUGGGCAUCACGGCAGCACUCCCUGAAUAUUUGUGCAGUGAGCGAAGGAGUGAAUAAAUACCUAGGGUGGCCGGCUGCUGCUACUCCC